Molecule: small nucleolar RNA, 87 nt
Organism: Macadamia integrifolia
Lineage: Eukaryota; Viridiplantae; Streptophyta; Magnoliopsida; Proteales; Proteaceae
Product: small nucleolar RNA snR60/Z15/Z230/Z193/J17
Exons: 1
Source: RefSeq, a predicted model, not a curated record
AAGAGUCGCGUGAUGAUUUUAUUGCAUAGUUCAGAUGAUUAUUCUCUGAUUACAUUGCAAGUCUUUCGCUCCUAUCUGAUGACUCUG